Camellia sinensis is the source of this 730-nucleotide long non-coding RNA. RefSeq lists it as uncharacterized. NCBI's taxonomy places the organism in Eukaryota, Viridiplantae, Streptophyta, Magnoliopsida, Ericales, Theaceae. The record is from RefSeq and is a predicted model, not a curated record.
CCACAAGGUGGCUAUUUGAGAGGGAAAGUGACUUGUGCAUAUAUCCUUGUGCAUACAUACUUCUAAUUUCUUGGUGCCUACUCAAGCAUGAUAUAUUCAUUGACCAGAGUCAUCUUCUCUCCCUAUAUAUAUCAUCCCUCUCUCUUCGUCUCUCUCACUCUCUCUACUUGUGCUCUCACUUUUCUCUCACUAUUGUCUUCACAAAUACUCUUGGGGGGGGCUUCUCUCUGAUCUGAUCCACAGCUAUAUACACACACACACAUAUAUUGGUGUUUAUUUUUAAUUCAUGGCAACCGGUGGACCUUAUCUUGCCGAAGUUUACGUGAUGCGGAAGCUCCAUAAGGAGAAGAUGAAGAGUACAGAAAAGGAAAGGGAAGAGAAGGAAGUAAUUGUUGUUCAUCAAGGAAAAGUUUGGUGUGAUUGUUUUCCCAGAAUGGUCAAGAAAAUCCGCCCAAACACGGUGGCGCCACCACCAGAUUCCAUUGUCACUGCUCCUGGGGCGUGAUUGAACUGUCAAAAUCAUGCAUAUCUACCGAGAGGCAAUGGUGUAGCAAAUAUGUUGGCUAACCAUGUUGUUCACCUACAUCAGGGAGACCUUGCGAUAUAUCCUAAUUCUCCUUGUUUUGUUUAUCUUUUAUACAACAUGACAACAGUGGGAUGGCUACCCCAGUUGUGUAGCCAACAAUCUUACUAGUUAAAUAAAAUUGCCUCUUUUAUCCAAAAAAAAAAA